GAUGAACGCUGGCGGCGCGCCUAACACAUGCAAGUCGAACGAUUAAAGCACCUUCGGGUGUGUAUAAAGUGGCGAACGGCUGAGUAACACGUGGGCAACCUGCCCCUUUCAUUGGGAUAGCCACGGGAAACCGUGGAUAAUACCGAAUACUUCGAGACUUCCGCAUGGGAGACUCGAGAAAGCUCCGGCGGAGAGGGAUGGGCCCGCGGCCUGUUAGCUUGUUGGUGGGGUAACGGCCUACCAAGGCAAUGAUGGGUAGCUGGGUUGAGAGACCGACCAGCCAGAUUGGGACUGAGACACGGCCCAGACUCCUACGGGAGGCAGCAGUGGGGAAUCUUGCACAAUGGGCGAAAGCCUGAUGCAGCGACGCCGCGUGCGGGAUGAAGGCCUUCGGGUUGUAAACCGCUUUCAGCAGGGACGAGGCGAAAGUGACGGUACCUGCAGAAGAAGCCCCGGCUAACUACGUG
This 467-nucleotide ribosomal RNA is filed under the name uncultured bacterium. RNAcentral describes it as "partial 16S ribosomal RNA". It matches the Rfam family "Bacterial small subunit ribosomal RNA", at positions 28 to 507 of the family's 1533-position model. The record is from RNAcentral.